GUAUGUGGCCAUACCACCUUGAACAUGCCCAAUCUUGGAAGUUAAGCAGGAUUGGGGCUGGUUAGUACUUGGAUAGGAGAAUACAUGCAAGAUAUGUAGAGCAUGUUCC
Ribosomal RNA from Bison bison bison, 109 nucleotides. NCBI's taxonomy places the organism in Eukaryota, Metazoa, Chordata, Mammalia, Artiodactyla, Bovidae. The record is from Ensembl.